This 2917-nucleotide long non-coding RNA is filed under the name Sus scrofa (pig). RNAcentral describes it as "lncRNA (ENSSSCG00060003820.1)". Lineage: Eukaryota; Metazoa; Chordata; Mammalia; Artiodactyla; Suidae. The record is from RNAcentral.
CUUCAUUUGUGUCUCGAUGGAUAGUUGGGUUAUUUCCAGUCUUUUUCUGCUUCAAACAAUGUUCUAAUGAGUAACCCUGUACAUGCCACUUUGUCCAGUAGGAGUGUAUCUGUAGGAUGAAUUUUUAGGUAUAGGAUUGUCAGGUCAGAUGAUGUGCACAUUAUACAAAAUACUGAUACGUUGCUGAAUGGUGCCAAGUGACCACCUUGGUGAUUGUGCUGAUUUAUAUUCUCAUUAACGAUGUAUAAUAAUUGUGUGGGAAAGGCUAAUGUUAUUGUGGUUAUCAGCCUGCUCCAGCAUGGAGUCUCCUGUGUCCUUUAAUAUCAGAUAAGCCCUCCUCAGUACCUUCUUUCAGCUGGCUUUUUUUAUGAGGAAUAUUAGAUCUUUUUGUCCUGAGGAAAACAAGCUGAAUGUUUUAUUAUUUGCUUUUUCCUCCAGUAUUUUCAGAAAAUGAGUGACUUCUCAGUGGAUAAAUCAGAAGGACGUUUUUCAAAGCUUAUUUCAACCCUCUGGUCAUCAACAUAGUUGACGCCUUGACUGUGGACACUAACGCUUUUCAUCUGCUCCAUCACUCUCCCGUAAUUCUUCCUGCCUGUGUGAAUUCCUGCUCAUUCUGGUCUGCUGUUGGAGUUACCCCUGGGAGAUUUCAUCCAUUUUCCGUGGCUUCAGUUACCGUCUGUACUCUGCUCCACUCUCUGCUGAUGGAACAGCACAGUCUUUGCAGAAGGCGAAGUACAGCUUCAGACACAGCGUCAGAAAACUCUUAUAGGAAAAACUUCAGUUAUGUUGCUUUCAGUUUACUGCCUGUUAAAUUUUUGCUUAAUAGAUCAUGAUCUUUGUGAAUUAAAUGAAUGCCCCUUGGAUCCUGGUGGCUACUUCAUUACUAAUGGAUCAGAAGGUAUAAUAGCAUUAUUAUUGUUUAAAUUACAAAAUUAAAUAAUUAAGAUUUAAAUUGUGAAAGUUAAAAAUAAAAAGUAAGGGAGUUCCCAUUGUAGCUCAAUGGUUAGCGAAUCCAACUCAGAACCAUGAGGUUUCGGGUUCGAUCCUGGCCUUGCUCAGUGGGUUAAGGAUCCGGCAUUGCCAUGAGCUGUGGUGUAGGUCGAGAUGCAACUUGGAUCCUGCGUUGCCAUGGCUGUGGCAUAGGCCGGCAGCCACAGCUCCAAAUGGACCCCUAGCCUGGGAACCUCCAUAUGCCACGGGUACGGCCAUAGAAAAGACAAAAAGAAAAAGUUUAAAAAAAUAUUAAGCUUCUAUGCAGGAUAAUCUGAAAGUGGCGGUUGAAUUAUUUAGGGGGUGACAGCUGAAUUUAUGUAGACCAAAAUUUUAUUUAACUGUGUAUAAUAUGCACUAGAAAUUUGGUCCGUUCUUUGAACUCGUAUGUUUCUAUGGAGCAUUUUUGCAAAACGGAGUUUGUAAAGUUUGAAAAUCGAUGUUUCGUGGAGUUCUCUUGUGGCGCGGUGGGUUAAGGAUCCAGCAUUGUCACUGCAUUGGUUUGGGUCGCUACUGUGGCAUGGGUUCAGAUUUGAUCCUUGGCCUGGGAACUUCCAAAUGCUGCAUGCACACUAUAUGAUGAGACUAAGAAGCAAAUUUCACUCUUUCUACUUCAGCGAUUGUGGGUUUUAAGGUUAUAACUUUUAUUGUUUACAUAGGUUCUGAUUGUUCAAGAGAAAAUGGCAACAGACACAGUCUAUGUGUUUGCCAAAAAGGACUCUAAAUGCCUACACAGGAGAGUAUAGAUCAUGUCUGGAGAAUUCUUCUCGACCUACCAGUACUAUCUGGGUUAGCAUGCUGGCCAGAGGAGGACAGGUAAGGGCUGUGGUAUGAUACUGUUUGGGUUUAUUACUUUUGGUCUAGUUUUGUAAGUUACCAGACUGUGUGCUUAGUCAGAAAGUCUUUCUGGAGCCUAUUAUUACUGUUGUAUGGUAGGCAUUUUAUUAUUUGUUUAUUGCUGUGUAAAAAAUUACUGUAGUAGCACCAUUCCUCAUGGCACAAUUUCUGGGUGUGGCUUAGCUGGGUCCUCUGGUCAAACACCUCUCAUGAUGCUGCAGAGGCUACAGUCAGGGCGUUUGUCUGAGGGCUGAUUUGCAUGGUGGGCAGCCAGAUCCAGUUCCUUGCUGCAGGGCUUCCUUCAUGCAGUGGCUGACAGCAGGCAGCUGGCAUGUCAGGGAGAGGGAGGGAGAGCCCUGGAACACACAGGCAAGAUGGAAAUCAUUGACUUUGGUGUCUUCAUCCUCAAAGCAGCGGCCUGUGGUCUUUGUGAGAUGCAAGUCAGCAUGUCCAGUUGAUACUCAAGAGCUAACAGUGUAAGAGUGGGCAGGGCUCACCAGGCACUAUCUCAGAAGCCACCUGUCCCAGGCAUGUUGCUUACGGCAAUGUAAUCUAAUAGCAGCUAGUGUUUUUCUGUUUUCGUUUUUGUUUUUGUUUUUGUCUUUUUGGGGCUGCCCCCACGACAUAUGGAGGUUCCCAGGCUAGGGGUUGAAUCGGAGCUACAGCCGCCAGCCUAGCCAUAUCCACAGCAGCACCAGAUCCGAGCCACAUCUGUGACCUGCACCACAGCUCACAGCAAUGCUGAAUCCUUAAGCCACUGAGCAAGGCCAGGGAUUGAACCCAUGUCCUCAUGGAUGCUAGUCAGGUUCAUUACUGCUGAACCACGAUGGGAACUUCUAACAUUUCUUGACUAUGUGCUGUGUGCAGGUUAUGUUACUCAGAUUGCUUGAUUUAAUCUUUACAACUAUGUUCGAAAUUUGUAAUUAACUAUUUAAUUCCAUGUAAAUUUUUUAUUAAAAAUUUAAAAAUUAAAAUAUAAAAAAUUUUUAAAAUGUCAUACAUGCACAUUAAAAUAGUUUGAAAAGUACAGAAAAGAAUACACUAUAAAAAGUAGUCUUCCUUUGACCCCUAGCUCUCUUCCCUAGAGGUA